UUGACGGGGCCCGCACAAGCGGUGGAGCAUGUGGUUUAAUUCGAAGCAACGCGAAGAACCUUACCAGGUCUUGACAUCCCGAUGCUAUUUCUAGAGAUAGAAAGUUACUUCGGUACAUCGGUGACAGGUGGUGCAUGGUUGUCGUCAGCUCGUGUCGUGAGAUGUUGGGUUAAGUCCCGCAACGAGCGCAACCCUUAUUCUUAGUUGCCAGCACUAACGGUGGGCACUCUAAGGAGACUGCCGGUGACAAACCGGAGGAAGGUGGGGAUGACGUCAAAUCAUCAUGCCCUUUAUGACCUGGGCUACAAACGUACUACAAUGGCCAAUACAAAGAGAUGCGAAGCGGUGACGUGGAGCGAACCUCAGAAAGUUGGUCUCAGUUCAGAUUGAAGUCUGCAACUCGACUUCAUGAAGGCGGAAUCGCUAGUAAUCGCGGGUCAGCAGACCGCGGUGAAUACGUUCCCGGGUUUU
Molecule: ribosomal RNA, 471 nt
Filed under: uncultured Streptococcus sp.
Lineage: Bacteria; Bacillati; Bacillota; Bacilli; Lactobacillales; Streptococcaceae
Description: bacterial SSU rRNA
Rfam family: Bacterial small subunit ribosomal RNA
Source: RNAcentral